GUCAUUCAAACGCAGGCCGUGCCAUGGUGAAAAACCAUUGUGGCUUCUUAAUCAGAUGAAAUUUCAGGUUUUGCGUGAGUGUUUCUCAAGAGCUAUGGAUAUGAAUACUAUAUUCUGCGCGCUCUGUGGGAUCAUCCUAAUGGCAGCAACCAGCACCAACGGAGUAAACACGCAAGCAUGCAGGCCAACAGAAGUGUGGAAUCCUGACAUUGACGAGUGCAUUCCCUGCUCCUCUUGCCAGCAGUACCCCAAAACCCCAUCAUGUGAAAAAUGUACUCGCGUUCACCCGGGUCCGUCGGACGCCUGGCGCCUGGCGGCCAUCACCAGCCUCUCUGUGCUGGCCACUGUGCUGGUGUUCGGUGGGCUGGUCAUCGGUGUGCUGGUUCACAAGUGCAGGACGAAGAGAAGCACCCUGCGAGAGCCUAUUGAGGAGACCACAGGACCACUCUACCCUUUGUAGCUGCCCCAAGUUGUUUGAUUCUGCGUGUGAAGGAACCAAAGGGCUUGGGACCGGGAGCUCCGCAUCGGUGAACUGUUACUCCAGUCAAUCCCCCCCCCUGGCCACCGAGGCCAGGCCUCCGACCACAGAGUAUUCUUUGAGUAGUGAUAUUUGACUAUUCUAUUUAUUGUACUGGUAGCUGACAUGUAGAUGUGCUCAAGAGCUUUAAGUGACAAGACUAGUAUGGACUGAUCCUGGACCAGCCAAGCCAAGGACCUGCCAGACGGACCCCCCCCAGAAGGAGUGGGGCCUCAAGCCUCACUCGCCACCCAGCACUAGCCCUGAGGGGUGGGAGGGGGGUCGAGGGGGGGGGGGGGGGGGGGCAGAUGUGCCCUUCCGAGUGCAAUCAUCUCAUUGGAUUCUCCUGGAGCUAGAAAAUCCAUGUUGUUCCUAAUUUAUUUUUCUUUCCAGUCUAGUCUGUAAGCCCCCCCCCCCCCCCCCCCAAGACACACACAGAAUCACACUCUGUUUUUGCUCAGUGGUGUGGAGAGCUGUGAUUCCCUAUAGAUAAGUGCUCUUAAUAUCAGCCUGACCCUGCUCUAUGGUAUUUCAUAUACUGUUAGGCAUUUGAGACUACUUUAAAAACUAGCAGCCUUUUUCUCGCGACAACCUAUUUUGAAUCUAAGGGCUUUCUUAAACUUUUUAACCUGCAUUACCAACCCCAAACAACCUCUGGGACAUUCCCUGGUCUUUAGUCUGGCACAUGGCUUCUUGAAUGUACAAAGUUGAGCAAUAGCACAUAUUUUAUUGAGUUGUCUUUUGAUAGGUCAUAGUAUUAAUACGCUACUUCCAUGCUUUAACAGUAUGCACUUAACACGUUGUCAAGAGCGACCUCACAGUCUGGAUGUAUGCUAAAGUUUUGACACUGACGUGACGACUGCCUGUGGUGCCUUUUUUUUUUUUUUUGUUAAAUUCUGGAGAUUCUGACGCGCGUGCGUAGCAUCAGUGCCUCAAGGGACACGCAGAGGAAAAACAACAUCCCUCAACUCCCUUUUGCUUGCCACAGCUGCACGCACGCCGUGAAAUAGCCAAGAAUACUGGGAGGAAGAAGAAGAAGUUUAGUGAGGGUGCACAAGGGUGUUGGCGUGAAGGACAGUGAAGCAGCUCGCCGCAGAAAACGCAUCUUCUUGAGCCCGCAGACCGCCACAGUUCCUCAAUUCCCCCGUCCCUCUCCAGGGCAGGGGAUGUGGCUAUCUGUCACUGUCGGCACAAGGUAACGCCGUGUCGGGCUGUCAGGCCUCAGGGGCUUCCACAGUUCACAUGUCCUCCCCCCUCUCAAGUGCAAGUGCAUCAGACACAGAUUUGAAGGGCCUUCCUCAAAAGGCCAGCCUACCUCGGCAAGGGCCAGCUAUGCGCUGUCACUGAGUCUGCUGCAGUAAUCUAAACACGGCUAUUUGAGUCUUCCCAGCAGAGAUAAAUGGACCUGAGUCACAUAGUGCCUUAGUCAGGAGUCAGGCAGGUGUUGUUGGCAUGAACCACUGCCACUGGUGUGCAUCCUCUCGUUGCAGGGUCAUUCAGAUAAGCAUAUGUGUAAGCAAAUUAAAGCUAAAAAUGUAUUAUUUUUUCUUUGAACUGCUGGUCAGCUAGUCUGACAAUGACUUUAAAUGUCUCAGUUUGGUGCAGGAGAAAACAAAAAAAGCACACCCCAUUUUGCAACCGUCAGAAGCACACACCAUUAAGCUGGUGUGUCUGACGACACCACGACAAACACGACCGGGACGUUAGUGUAGUGGUAUGCAUGGUGGGUGAAGGGAGUGGGGGGUACAGCAUGAGGGAGAGGAUGGGCCAAGUUAUUGAAGCACAAAGCCCUAGUUUCACAUAGACUGCCAAGCGUGGCGAGAUGACUCACGUUACUGACAGAUGACUCGAUUUUUUUAUCAGUUUAGUAGCAGUACUGUUUGCAUAUUCUCCCAUUUUUAUAAGAACAUAAGCCACAGCUGUGCAGUGUCUGUAUUGUUACUAUACCGACCACAAGGAAACAAUCCCCAGAUGUCACAAUGUGAAGCAGAAGGGUAGGUUUACAUUAGGUCACCCUCUCCAAACCUAGACGGCUGUUACCAUGGCAUCAGUGUUUACCUAUGGUGGGUCUGUAGAACAUGUAUUUGUACACAUUAAAAAAGUUUAUAUGGAAAA
This is a long non-coding RNA of Sardina pilchardus (European sardine), 2632 nucleotides long. RefSeq lists it as uncharacterized. The record is from RefSeq and is a predicted model, not a curated record. The transcript has 5 exons. NCBI's taxonomy places the organism in Eukaryota, Metazoa, Chordata, Actinopteri, Clupeiformes, Clupeidae.